Molecule: long non-coding RNA, 201 nt
Filed under: Brassica napus (rape)
Lineage: Eukaryota; Viridiplantae; Streptophyta; Magnoliopsida; Brassicales; Brassicaceae
Description: long non-coding RNA (BNAP_LNC026175)
Source: RNAcentral
UUGAACAUUUGCUUGUACUCAAUUAAAAACUAACAAAAACUCAAAAACUAGUGGAAAGGUAUUAUAACGCAGGAACUCACAUAUCAUUUAUAAUGUCAUCUCACCACUACCUAAUGCAAGCCACAUCAAUAAGCACAAACUUCAAAAAGGCACUUCCAUGUAUUUGAUCCUAACUUAGCAACCUAAUCAUUUUCAAUCGAC